Molecule: ribosomal RNA, 669 nt
Filed under: Microbacterium foliorum
Lineage: Bacteria; Bacillati; Actinomycetota; Actinomycetes; Micrococcales; Microbacteriaceae
Description: bacterial SSU rRNA
Rfam family: Bacterial small subunit ribosomal RNA
Source: RNAcentral
CGGUGAACACGGAGCUUGCUCUGUGGGAUCAGUGGCGAACGGGUGAGUAACACGUGAGCAACCUGCCCCUGACUCUGGGAUAAGCGCUGGAAACGGCGUCUAAUACUGGAUACGAGUAGCGACCGCAUGGUCAGUUACUGGAAAGAUUUAUUGGUUGGGGAUGGGCUCGCGGCCUAUCAGCUUGUUGGUGAGGUAAUGGCUCACCAAGGCGUCGACGGGUAGCCGGCCUGAGAGGGUGACCGGCCACACUGGGACUGAGACACGGCCCAGACUCCUACGGGAGGCAGCAGUGGGGAAUAUUGCACAAUGGGCGCAAGCCUGAUGCAGCAACGCCGCGUGAGGGAUGACGGCCUUCGGGUUGUAAACCUCUUUUAGCAGGGAAGAAGCGAAAGUGACGGUACCUGCAGAAAAAGCGCCGGCUAACUACGUGCCAGCAGCCGCGGUAAUACGUAGGGCGCAAGCGUUAUCCGGAAUUAUUGGGCGUAAAGAGCUCGUAGGCGGUUUGUCGCGUCUGCUGUGAAAUCCGGAGGCUCAACCUCCGGCCUGCAGUGGGUACGGGCAGACUAGAGUGCGGUAGGGGAGAUUGGAAUUCCUGGUGUAGCGGUGGAAUGCGCAGAUAUCAGGAGGAACACCGAUGGCGAAGGCAGAUCUCUGGGCCGUAACUGACGC